RNAcentral lists this ribosomal RNA (502 nucleotides) under uncultured microorganism. RNAcentral's name for it is "bacterial SSU rRNA". It matches the Rfam family "Archaeal small subunit ribosomal RNA", at positions 330 to 743 of the family's 1478-position model. The record is from RNAcentral.
GUGCAGCAGUCGCGAAAACUCCGCAAUGCCCGAAAGGGUGACGGGGGAUUCCAAGUGCCUACGCUUAGCGUAGGCUGUUCAGGUGCCUAAAAAGCACCUGGAGGAAGGGCUGGGUAAGACGGGUGCCAUCUGCAGUGGUAACGAAAGAUUUGAUUUGCUACUGCAAGCCAUAAGCCGCCGCGGUAAUACCCGCAGCCCGAGUGGUAGUCGCUUUUAUUGGGCCUAAAGCGUCCGUAGCCGGUCUGGUAAAUGCCUGGGUAAAUCGUGGGGCUUAACCUCACGAAUUCCGGGUAGACUGCCAGACUUGGGACCGGUUGAGGGAGAGGGUACUUCAGGGGUAGGGGUGAAAAUUUUCCUUUCCAUUAACGCUUUGCGCGAAGCGGAAAGGGUUAUCACAAUCCUGUAAUCCCUGGAGGACCACCCGUGGCGAAGGCGCUCUCCUAAGACGGGUCCGACGGUGAGGACGAAAGCCAGGGAGCAAACCGGAUUAGAUACCCGCGUA